Molecule: transfer RNA, 53 nt
Filed under: Lygosoma sp. CDS-2011
Lineage: Eukaryota; Metazoa; Chordata; Lepidosauria; Squamata; Scincidae
Description: partial tRNA-Glx
Source: RNAcentral
GUACAGGGGGUUUUGGGCCCCCAAGCAUAGGUUCGUGUCCUGUUUUUCUAGUA